Molecule: long non-coding RNA, 739 nt
Organism: Arachis stenosperma
Lineage: Eukaryota; Viridiplantae; Streptophyta; Magnoliopsida; Fabales; Fabaceae
Exons: 3
Source: RefSeq, a predicted model, not a curated record
GAAAAACGUAAAACUAGUAGCUCAAAUGGAUUUGUAUUGAUUUUUUUUUCCUUUCAAAUUUUGUAUAGGAUGAAUUACAUACACUCACCUUCAUCAUUGUAAAACCCUCUCACUCUCGCCAUUCAGAGUCGUCGCCUCCCACUCACGGCUCACCUGCACGUAUCCACAUUGACCGUCGUCACUCCUCUUCACCAUCGCUUGCACUGAUUGAAGCUGUGCCGCCCUCACCAUCAUCGCUGUGCAGCCCUCACCAUCGUUGCUGCGCCGCUCUCACCAUCGUCAUCUCCGUGCUUCUCAUCAUCGUCUUCGCUAUGCUCACAUCAUUGAAUAGUUUGAACGGUUUCUUGGUUAGCCAGAAACAGAACUGGUGUGAAGAAUGUAAAGAAUGAAAGAAGACAAGGAGUAGAGAAGUAGAAGACGAAGAAGAAAGGUGAGCUGAAUGAGCUAUAACAUUUGCACUCAUUGACUCCAUUGACGUCACCGCAGCAAGUAAUCCGUUGUAGCAGGAUAAUUCUGAAGAUGCGAGUGAAGAUUGAGAUGCUGAUCAUGAUGGUUUAGUGACAAAGAUGGAAAUUGAAAGAUGUAUGGUUGAUGAUGAUAUCUUUUAUUAGAAGUUAAGAUACAUUUAUAUGAUAUAAUAUUUUGGUUUUUCCUAGUUUAUUAGCAGUAAACUCUAAGUGCAUUAUAUGAGUAUACUUAUUCUAGUUUGAGAUGUAUGAAUACUCAAAAUUAUGAUCAU